UGAGUUUCUUUUGUCAAACUUAAGUAGCUGUAACCCUAUUUAUUCAUCACUUACGAGUUAAACCCUAAAUAAACUAACACACGAUAGUUGCCAUGGAGUUCUGUGGACAUUGCGGCAUUCUUCGUAACACUACGUCUUAUUUAUGUGAUGCCGUAUAUUUGAACUGUUGUAGAGAUUGUGGAAAGGUUCUGAGUGAGACUUGUGCAGAUUGUGGAAACGUUUCAACAGAGUCUAAUCCUAUUAGUUUGAGGACGUGUAAAAGUGAUGGAAUAAAGAAGAAUAAGAGUGUGACAAUAAAAUCUAAAGAACUAUACCUAAGGCAUUUUUUGUUCAAUUCUUCUUAAUUGAAGGACACAUUUAUAAGUUUUGUUUACUUUAGUUGUUUAAGGUGGUUUUAAAUUUGAGUUAUGAGAUAAUUUUGUUCAAUGUA
Molecule: long non-coding RNA, 430 nt
Organism: Vicia villosa (hairy vetch)
Lineage: Eukaryota; Viridiplantae; Streptophyta; Magnoliopsida; Fabales; Fabaceae
Exons: 2
Source: RefSeq, a predicted model, not a curated record